Molecule: long non-coding RNA, 541 nt
Organism: Oncorhynchus keta (chum salmon)
Lineage: Eukaryota; Metazoa; Chordata; Actinopteri; Salmoniformes; Salmonidae
Exons: 3
Source: RefSeq, a predicted model, not a curated record
UACUUAGGAAAAGCUUGAGGAACCCAAGAGGUCCACACAGUACUUAGGAAAAGCUUGAGGAACCCAAGAGGUCCACACAGUACUUAGGAAAAGCUUGAGGAACCCAAGAGGUCCACACAGUACUUAGGAAAAGCUUGAGGAACCCAAGAGGUCCACACAGUACUUAGGAAAAGCUUGAGGAACCCAAGAGGUCCACACAGUACUUAGGAAAAGCUUGAGGAACCCAAGAGGUCCACACAGUACUUAGGAAAAGCUUGAGGAACCCAAGAGGUCCACACAGUACUUAGGAAAAGCUUGAGGAACCCAAGAGGUCCACACAGUACUUAGGAAAAGCUUGAGGAACCCAAGAGGUCCACACAGUACUUAGGAAAAGCUUGAGGAACCCAAGAGGUCCACACAGUACUUAGGAAAAGCUUGAGGAACCCAAGAGGUCCACACAGUACUUAGGAAAAGCUUGAGGAACCCAUGAGGUCCACACAGUACUUAGGAAAAGCUUGAGGAACCCAAGAGGUCCAUACAGUACUUAGGAAAAGCUUGAGGA